Molecule: long non-coding RNA, 3507 nt
Filed under: Homo sapiens (human)
Lineage: Eukaryota; Metazoa; Chordata; Mammalia; Primates; Hominidae
Description: HSALNT0298608
Source: RNAcentral
GGGUGGCGAAGCGCCGCCGGGCGCUUGGUGGCCGCUGCCGCCGCCACUGCAGCUGUGCACGCCCGCCUCUCGGAGGAAACUUGAAGCCAGCAGUACAAGCAGGGCUGGAGGCCGAGCGGAGGUGGGGCGGGACCGGUUGGAGCAGGGACUCUUUAAACACGUGCGUCUGGAGGAGCCAUCCGACCUUGGGACUAGGGAAACGUGGACUUGGUGGGCUAUUCUGCGCUGAAGAGGCAGCAACGAGGGCUCGGUGGUAUUGGUGUUGGUCCUAGUGGAAUUGUCAAGAGGAUGCUUUUGAAGACCUGAUGCCUGGAGGUACAGCAGCCAUCUUGUGACCAUAAGGAGGAAAUCAACGCAUUAAGAAGGGAAAAGCUAAGAAGAUACAGAGAGCAGGGACCACUGACAACAUGAUCAAGCCACUCUACCAGGCCUUAACUUCCUAUUCCCUGACUUCUUAUUGAAAGAGACAAUAAAACUUCUCAUUUGUUUUAACCCAUAGAAGUAAGGCAUUCUGUUACUUAUGGGUGAACACAAUUCUUAACUGAUGCCAUGGUUUAAUGGGAGUAGGGAUCCUGGUAUGACAGGAAAUUGAGAUAAUCAGUUUAUGGCUAGUGUAGCAGCUCCAAGACACGAUUAAUGUCCCAAGCUCUUUUGCCCUCCUGACUUGCUAGCCUCAGUAUGUGGAUUUUGUUCUCCCAGUCUGAAGGCAUAACUUUUGGGGAAGAGUAAAAGAAGCCCUCUCCAGAGAUCUGCUACAUCUCAUUGGCCAGAACUCUAACAUUUGGCCGCCACUACCUAGUUGCAAGUGAAUCUGAGAAGGUGAGUGUUUUUUCAUUUCAGGCUUUAUGAAAUAGAAAGGCAAAGGAAGGGGGGUUUGAGCAGCCUUUGAACAGCCAGUUCACGUUUUUGCUAUACUGCUCUAGUCAGGUUUUCUAUUACCAGCAGCCUAAUACAAUUUCCAGGUGCCCCAAGUUGUGCUGACAACUUGGUGUAUAAGAGAGACAGUGCUUUGGGGUUAGUAUGAUCAGGGAAAGUUCACUGACAAAGUGGCAACCUAAGGCAAAUUACAUCACACUUUUUCUCUGCUUGUAAGUAAGUCUGAAUGUUCCAUGUUUUCCUGACCUAUUCUUAACCGAUUCCUGCUCCUCCUGAGUUGUUAUACAUAAAUUAGUUUUGGUUUUCUGCCUUCUUCUAAUAUAUAGCAAUACCUCUGUUUAUUGAAGGUGAAGGCAAAUACAGUUUGCAUUAGUCUGUUUUCACACUGCUAUAAAGAUACUACCUGAGACUGGGUAAUUUAUAAAGGAAAGAGGUUUCAUUGACUCACAGUUCAGCAUGGCUGGGGAGGCCUCAGGAAACUUACAAUCACAGCAGAAGGCAACGGGGAAGCAAGGCACAUCUUACAUGGCAGCAGGAGAGAGAAAGAGAGAGAGAGUGAAAGGGAAUUGCCAAACACUUUUAAACCAUCAGAUCUUGUGAGAACUCACUAUCAGGAGAAUAGCAGGGGGAAACCACCCCCGUGAUCCAGUCAUCUCCUACCAGAUUCCUCCCUCGACACAUGGAAAUUACAAUUCAAGAUGAGAUCUGGGUGGGAACACAGAACCAAACCAUAUCACAGAUGCUCCUUAUGAUAGGGUUACAUCCCAAUAAACCCUUUGUAAAUUGAAAAUAGUGUACAUCAAAAUGCAUUUAAUACAUCGAACCUAUCACACAUUAUAACUUAGCCUAACCUACCUUAAAUGUGCUUAGAAUACUUACAUUAGCCUACAGUUGGGCAAAAUCAUCUAACACAAAGCCUAUUUUAUAAUAAAGUAUUGAAUAUCUCAUGUCAUUUAUUAAAUGCUGUACCAAAAGUGAAAAAACAGAAUGGUUUUAUGGGUACUUGAAAUGUAAUAUCUAUUGAAUGUGUAUCGCUUUGGCACUAUUGUGAAGUUGAAAAAUCUUAAGAUGAACAGUCAUAAGUCGGGGACUGUCUGUAAAGUGUACCCACACAACUGAAGACUUGGUUUAUCAUGAAGCUUUUUCCAACCUUAUCUCCUAUCUGCUCUCCCCUUACAUUCCUGUCUCCACCCUACCCUCAAGCAUCCAUCAGAGAAAUGGUCAAAGCGUAAAGGGGAAUGCCUUUGGAUUCAUGGGAAGCUCAGUUAAGUGGGCUGUGAGCCUCCUCUUGCCCCAUCACUCAUCCUGUUCUGCCCACAGGAAAAUCUGACCAUAUGUUUCAUUUAACACAAAAUUCGAGAGUAUCUCCUAAACAGUAUUUUCCCCCAUAAAUGAACUCUGUAAACUUUUCAGUGCCAUAAAUAACUGGUAUGAUAUAUCAAGUUACUCUCUUGCUUCCCAGCCAAGCCCUGUUGAAAUCCCAGAAAGCUUUCCCCAUCCUCCAGCUUAAAUCCAGCUCACCAAGUUCUCACUCCCACCUCUCAACACCCCCAUCCAAACACUCCCUCCAGUCCCCACCACAAAGAUACUCUGCCCUGGCUAAGCAACCACCCCUAAUACUGUUUCUCUCUUGGUGGGGUUUGGAUGUUUAGAAUGUCCUGAGAAUUGGGGUUCUUUGAGUGUUUAUUAUAAAAUUUUAAAAGAUGUAGAAGAAUAGAGAGUUUAGUGAACAUUCAUCUACCUAUCUGGAUUCAGCAACUGUUAGCAUUUUUGUGCUUUGAGUUGUUUCAAAAUUGUGUUUUACAGCUGGUUUGUUCAAACCAGGAUCUAAAGAUUUUCUCACCCCUCAGUGUUACAGUAGCUAGGCAGGCAGAGAUGAGCAGGGCAGGAGAGGACCUCCCUCCAACAACAGGCAUGCCAGGCAACCAUCAGGUCAUGGUCAGGUGAUUGUUAACUGUCUCUCUAAAAUAAUAAUUGGUUGUGGCCCCGUGCCAGAGAGAGGCAGUCUCCCAACAGAUAGAAACACCUGAAACUGGUAAUCAGCAGCUUCCCAAUAAGAUUUCAGGAGUUGGGCGAGUGGGCUCAAACAUGUGCACUAAGAGGCAAAAUGGCAGAGUUUAAAGGGUAUAUGAACACUGGGUAAAGGAAGAAUUCCUCAAGUGAGCACGUGUACAACUUCAGUAAACACACUGUGCAUGUGGCCCCUCCCAACUGCUGGCAGGCCACUGUGCAUGUGGACAGCCCACCCCAAGGGAAGCAUCAGGGUAAGGGAGGAGACCACCCCUCAUAUUGUCUUAUGCCCAAUUUCUGCCUCCAAAGAAAGAAGAAGUAAAAACUAAAAGGCAGAAAUGAAAUUCUCAGGCAGACAGCCCGGCGCCGUGCCCUGGGCCUGGUUAAAGAUCGACCCCUGACCUAACCAGUUAUGUUAUCUAUAGAUUCCAGAUAUUGUAUGGAAGAGCAUUGUAAAAAUCCCUGUCCUGUUCUGUUCCGUUCUGAUUACCAGUGCAUGCAUCCCCCAGUCACGCACCCCCUGCUUGCUCAAUCGAUUACGACCCUCUCACGUGGACCCCCUUAGAGUUGUAAGCCCUUAAAAGGGACAGGAAUUGCUCACUUGGGGAGCUCGGUUUUUGA